AUGAAAGUUCCUGGGAUAAAGAUCGUUGUCCUGCCUCGCAGGUUAGAGAAAGAGAGAGAGAAAUGUGAUCGUUCAGACAAGAGCACUAAAGAGCUGCGUAGGGUGGAUUCUGCCUACUCUUUAAAGCGCAAUUAUCUGAAAAAAACUAGUCCAGAUUGAGAAAUCAAAAGGAAAGGGGACGAUGGCGACUUGCUUUGGUCUCCGGCUGAGAAAACUGCCUCGAUAUGUCCGCGUAAAUUUCCAGGAAUCAAGCUCCGUUCAAAGACUUCAUUUUUUCUUUAGCCUCUGGGCGUGCCUCAGCUCUGCUCCUGGGAAUGCAGAAGCCUUGAACGUAAGCAUGCCAGCUCAGAAGACAGCAAUCUUGGGUACGAAUGUGACACUUCAGUGUAAUAUCUCUGACUACCCUCCCCCAGAACUGGAUAUCACAAAAACAAUAUUCAUCUGGUAUCUGGAGACACCUGAAGGGAAUAAAGAAGAAAAACUUUAUUCAGUUGUUGAUGGAAAACAUUCUUCAAAUAGAUAUGGUUCAAGACUGGAUACAAUUCAAUUAAAAAAUGGAGAUGCUUCCCUUUUUCUUCCACAAAUACAGUUUAAUGAAGAGGGCAAAUAUAAGUGUGUCGUGAUUGAUACCUCUGUUAGAGCUGAAGGAGCCACCAUUUUAGAUCUAGUUGUUGAACCAACUGUCCAACUGUCUCCCAAGGAACUUGAAAUUGAAAACGGAAAUGUAAAGACACUGAGAUGUAGAGUGAAUAAAUUCUAUCCUGAUUCCAUUGUCAUUCUUUGGCAAAAGCAUUCUAAGCACACGUCGGAUAAAGAUAUACCUGUAGAUGAUAUUUUCAUGGAAACAUCUGUGAGAAAUGGUGAUGGCACUUACAACACCACCAGUAAACUGAGACUUCAACCAUCUUCACAAGACCAUGGAAACGUCUAUAGUUGUAUUGUGCAGCAUAAGUCAUUUGCCAGAUUUCCAGUCUACAAUGUAACUUUAACAGUAACAGAACCUUAUUCGACUACUCCAUUAACCAUUGGGCUGGUUUUAUGUUUUCUGAUUUCUUUUCUUUUAGUUGGAUUGCUGCUGUACAUUGUCUUUUUAAAGAAACUAGAUCCACCAUCUGUGGAAAUGUUUGGAAUUGAGGAACUGAAUCAUUUGGAAGAAACACAGUUGCAAUGUUUGAUUUCACACUUUCGACCUAAGCCUUUGCAGGUAGACCUCUUCUUAGUAACUGAACCUCAGAAAACAAAACAGAAAAUAGCCUUUUGGCCUAGAACAUCAGUUGAAGAACCUACGGAAGAUGCUGAAAAUUCUCCUCUCCUUGGGAACUUGAAGGACAUGUUUAAAACUUAUCCAGUGUUGAAAUCAAAACCAAAAAACUAUUUUGAUUUGCAGUGGAAAAUCUGCAUGAAUCCAGAUGUUCAGAAGCUAGAGAAAUUUCAACUUUUAUUAGACAUUAAAUAUGAAGACUUUCAGCAUGGAUUGUGUAAAACGAAAUCAUUUAAAGUCAUAGCCUUACCAGAGCUUCAUGACAUUCAUUGUUCCACAAAUAUGCCAAGAUCAAAUGAACCGCUCACUCUUAGUUGCAACAUUCAUUCUUAUUUUCCGGACACCCUUGAAGUCUAUUGGACUAAUGAUGAUGGAAUUGUAGACAGUUCCUUUUCAACUCCACCCACAAAAGGUACUAAUGGGCUUUACUUUUGCAUCAGCAAGAUCCACUAUUGCCCUCAAGUGGAAGAUUCUGGAAAGAGGUUUGUCUGCAGAGCUAAGCUUCAAGGACCACAAGCAUAUAAAGAAUCUGUAUGGCGGAUGAACCCUGUGGUUGUGGCCCCCAAAGUUGACAAAAUUGAAUGUAAGCCCCCUGUUCCUGAGUGUGGGAAACCCAUCACAUUGAGAUGCUUACUGACAGAAUACCAUCCACCUGAGUGUGACAUUCAUUGGAAAAAGGGCUCUGAAGAGCUCUUGGGUGCUGAAGUUAAAACAGGAGAGCCGCAGUUGGACAGAAUGUCAAUGCUGUACUCCAGGGCGAGUGAAAUAACCUUUACACCCAGCGCAGAAGACCAUGAAUUGGAAUUCUUUGUUGAAAUAAAUCAUUGCAAGGAAAUUGUACGGAAAGUAUAUAAAGUCAUGCUGAAAGAUUUUCCCAAACUUUCAAAUAUUGUUAUUGAACCAAGUGAUGCAGGUUAUGGACAAAGUGUAACUUUAACUUGUGAUGUCACAGAUUUCAAUCCUAAAAAAAUUGGUACACAGUGGCUCCUGGGAGAUAAUUCACCAACCAAUGCUGCGGUCACAGAAGAUUUAGACAAGGCCUGUAAUGGUUGUUACAAAUUAACUUCCGUGUUUAAACUAAGAGCUACUGCUUCAGUUUGUGAUAAGGCUAUUUUUUUCAGGGUAAACCAUGCAACAUUGACAAAGCCUAUUACAAGAGAAGUGAAUUUAAAACUUCCAGAAGCCUUGAAAGUAAGCAUGCCAACUCAGAAGACAGCAAUCUUGGGUACAAAUGUGACACUUCAGUGUAAAAUCUCUGACUACCCUCCCCCAGAACUGGAUAUCAAAAAAACAAUAUUCAUCUGGUAUUUGGAGACAUCUGAAGGGAAUAAAGUAGAACAACUUUAUUCAGUUGUUGCUGGAAAACAUUCUUCAAAUAGAAAUGGUUCAAGACUGGAUACAAUUCAAUUAAAAAAUGGAGAUGCUUCCCUUUUUCUUCCACUAAUACAGUUUAAUGAAGAGGGCAAAUAUCUAUGUGUCGUGAUUGAUACCUCUGUUAGAGCUGAAGGAGCCACCAUUUUAGAUCUAGUUGUUGAACCAACUGUCCAACUGUCUCCCAAGGAACUUGAAAUUGAAAACGGAAAUGUAAAGACACUGAGAUGUAGAGUGAAUAAAUUCUAUCCUGAUUCCAUUGUCAUUCUUUGGCAAAAGCAUUCUAAGCACACGUCGGAUAAAGAUAUACCUGUAGGCGAUAUUUUCAUGAGAAGAUCUGUGAGAAAUGGUGAUGGCACUUACAACACCACAAGUAUACUGAGAGUUCAACCAUCUUCACAAGACCAAGGAAACGUCUAUAGUUGUAUUGUGCAGCAUAAGUCAUUUGCCAGAUAUCCAGUCUACAAUGUAACUUUAACAGUAACAGAACCUUAUUCGACUACUCAAUUAACAAUUGGGCUGGUUUUAUGUUUUCUGAUUUUGUUUCUCCUAGCUGGGUUGCUGCGGUACAUUGUCUUUUUAAAGAAAUAUGCACCAUCUGUGGAAAUGGUUGGAAGUGAGGAACUGAAGCAUUUGGAAGAAACACAGUUGCAAUGUUUGAUUUCACACUUUCGACCCAAGCCUUUGCAAGUAGACCUUUUCUUAGUAACUGAACUUCAGAAAACAAAACAGAAAAUAGCCUCUUGGCAUACAACCUCACUUGAAGAACCUACAGAAGACGAUGAAAAUUCUCCUCUCCUUGGGAACUUGGAGGACAUGUUUAAAGCUUAUCCAGAGUUGAAAUCAAAACCAAAAAACUAUUAUGACUUCCAGUGGAAAAUCUGCCUGAAUCCAGAUGUACAGAAGCUGGAGGAAUUUCAACUUUUAUUGGAAAUUAAACAUGAGGGCUUUCAGCAUGGAUUGUGUACUAAAACAAAAUCAUUUAAAGUCGUAGCCUUACCAGUGCUUCAUGAAAUUCAUUGUUCCACAAAUGUGCCAAGACCAAAUGAACCGCUCUCUCUUAGUUGCACAAUUCAUUCUUAUUUUCCGGAAACGCUUGAAGUCUGUUGGAAUAACGAUGAUGGAAUUCUAGACAGUUCCUUUUCAACUCCACCCACAAAAGGAACUGAUGGGCUUUACUUUUGUAUCAGCAAGAUCCACUAUUGCCCACAAGUGGAAGAUUAUGGAAAGAGGCUUGUCUGCAGAGCUAAGCUUGAAGGAUCAAAAACAUACAAAGAAUCUACAUGGCAGAUGAACACUAUGGAUUACAAAAUUGAAUGUAAGCCUCCUGUACCUGAGUGUGGGAAACCCAUCACACUGAGUUGCUCAUUGACAAAAUACCAUCCACCUGAGUGUGACAUUUAUUGGAGAAAGGGCUUUGAAGAGCUCACAGAUGCUACAAUUAAAACAGAGGAGCCGCAGUUGGACAGAAUGUCAAAGCUGUACUCCAGGACAAGUGAAAUAACCUUUACACCCAGCGCAGAAGAUCAUGAAUUGGAAUUCUUUGUUGAAAUAAAUCAUUGCAAGAAAAUUGUACGGGAGGGAUAUAAAGUCAUGCUGAAAGAUUUUCCCAAACUUUCAAAUAUUGUUAUUGAACCAAGUGAUGCAGAUUAUGGACAAAGUGUAACUUUAACUUGUGAUGUCACAGAUUUCAAUCCUAAAAAAAUUGGCACACAGUGGCUCCUGGGAGAUAAUUCACUAACGAACGGUGUGGUCACAGAGGAUUUAGACAUUCUCUGUUAUGGUUGUUACAAAUUAACUUCUGUGUUUGAACUAAGAGCCACCGCUUCAGUUUGUAACAAGGCUAUUUGUUUCAAGGUGAACCACGAAAAAUUGACAAAGCCUAUUACAAGAGAAGUGUAUUUAAAACUUCCAGUCAAACGGCCUGUUUUGACUGAAAUAAAGGCAAGCCAAGAUCAUCAGAAUAUCCUCCUUGAAAUUUCUAUAUCACAAUUUGCACCUCAUGAUAUACAAGUCAGAUGAUACCAAGGCUGGAGAAAAAUACCUGAAAAUAUCAAUCCCAGGAAUAUUGGGAUUGGAGAAGAUCACUUAUGUUAUUUUGUUAGUAAAAUAUACUUAAAUCCAAAAGAACUGCGCUUUGGGAAGACAAUACAAUGUGAAGUUAAACAUUCAACAUCUACUGAGGAAAAAAGCUUAACACUGAACACAAUAGAUUUCUCUGAUCUUGAGGAAACGUAACAUCAUCACCAUGAGUCAUAACCAUUAUGAACUCCUUCAAAGUAAGCUCUCUGCAGAUGCAAUAACAGUUGGAAAAUAAUUAUGUUUUGCUACUUUUCUCGCUACAAAGUAAUCCUUCAAAAAAAUUCCUAUCUUGGCUCAACCACACAGCUGAUAUUAAAGGUCUCUGAAAUCAACUCUAGCCAUUUCACUCACUGCUUUUGCUCAGGGGUGGCAGAUGUGAGUAUAUUGAAAGCCCAGGUGGCACCUUUCCAGAAAAGGAAGAACCUACAAACAUCUACAAGACCAAAGUGAAGACUAUUCUAGCCAUCCUUUGGAUAAAAUUGUUUGAAUUGUUGUUUGAAUGCACUCUGAGUUAGACUUCAGCUGUGCAAAAUUCUUGGACUGGGAUUAAUGUAGUUACGUGAGAAGAGUUUGAACCCGUUAAAUGCAGUGGCUAAAGGAAAGCAGUUGAGCUUUUCCAGCAGAUCAGGGUGAGCUGCAGGUGACGUGAAGCAUUGCUGCUCUGAAAUAUUUCAUACUGAGAAAAAGAAUUCACAAUGGAAGGUGACAUAUUGGGAAUCCAAUUAUAUCAAAUAUCCAUGUGGUGAUUUCUGAGGAGCAAUUAUUUUGGCUUUGUUAUCAAUAAUUAAUCUGUUGAAUGAAGGAUUUUAGUCAAUUUUAAAUUUAAAGUUUAAUGAAGGAGGUGGGAGUUUAGGAUUAUUUUCCUCAACCUCCUUAUUCAUUCGCAUGUGCUUGUUUAUUCCAUCUUAGUCAUGUUGUGACUCGGAAGCCCAUCAAGAGACAGCUGCUGGAAUGCCUCCUGUGUGAUGAGGGCUCCUCUGACAGAGGCCAUGUCUUUAGGACAUACCAAAGUGUUUACUCACUCCACUGCCUUGAGCAACCCUGCUCCUAUUACACCAACUCUGGAUUCUUUGCAUUUGGAACCUGGGAAACGACAAGGACUGUCUAGCCUGGGGCCUUCUAACAUAUGCUACCUUUAACAGAAGCCAAAUAUAAGCAAGAAAACUUACCUUGGACGAAGCAAAUAAACUGGGCAUCUCACCUUCUAUUAUUUGUGUUAACGUUUCAGUCAAUUCCUCCUCCCUGGACUAAACUGUCAUCUCUUUGUCAUGUGGUUGUUAUUGUGUCACAUAACUUGAAGAAGAAGGCUGUUGAAUCAUGUGAUAUUCUCAAUGUUCUACCUAAUAAAGGAGGCACCAUGUUUGGUUCUUCUUGUUCACAUA
Molecule: RNA transcript, 6096 nt
Organism: Thamnophis elegans (Western terrestrial garter snake)
Lineage: Eukaryota; Metazoa; Chordata; Lepidosauria; Squamata; Natricidae
Exons: 18
Source: RefSeq, a predicted model, not a curated record